AGAAAUUAAGAGAGAGCAACAAUGGCUCUAAAGUUCUUAUUCACCUUCACCACCAUCUUCCUCAUUGUCACCAAUGCCCUCAUCCCUACAGCUGUGGCGCGAUUUCCACCUUCGCCAACUAUCCCUAGCGCAAUCAAGAAAUUUAGUAAUCCAAGUAGCGAAGGCGAAAAAGUAAUCUUUGAACAGCCUCUCGGCCUUACUUCCAUCCGCCCUGCCUUCCAGCCUGCUUGUCAGAGAACAACGAAAGCUCCGUAAUAAUAGUACGCAACUGCAGGCUCUCGACCGACUAUUGCUCUAAUAAAUACACAGUUUCGUUGUAAGGGCCUGCUGUAACUGUAUGUUCGUAUUACUUGCUCUCUACAUGCUCUACUUUCCAAGGAUUGUCUCCAUCUCGAUAGCAAAUUUUAUACAUACAUGUGUAUGUUUGAUGAA
This is a long non-coding RNA of Ananas comosus (pineapple), 432 nucleotides long. RefSeq lists it as uncharacterized. The record is from RefSeq and is a predicted model, not a curated record. Lineage: Eukaryota; Viridiplantae; Streptophyta; Magnoliopsida; Poales; Bromeliaceae. The transcript has 2 exons.